AACGCGAAGAACCUUACCAGGCCUUGACAUCCCGUGCUACGUCCAGAGAUGGGCGGUCCCCGCAAGGGGCGCGGAGACAGGUGCUGCAUGGCUGUCGUCAGCUCGUGUCGUGAGAUGUUGGGUUAAGUCCCGCAACGAGCGCAACCCUCGCCUUUAGUUGCCAUCAUUCAGUUGGGCACUCUAAAGGGACCGCCGGCGACAAGCCGGAGGAAGGUGGGGAUGACGUCAAGUCCUCAUGGCCCUUACGGCCUGGGCUACACACGUGCUACAAUGGCGGUGACAGUGGGCAGCGACCACGCGAGUGGAUGCGAAUCCCAAAAAACCGGUCUCAGUUCGGAUUGCAGGCUGCAACUCGCCUGCAUGAAGUCGGAAUCGCUAGUAACCGCAGAUCAGCUACGCUGCGGUGAAUACGUUCCCGGGCCUUGUACACACCGCUAGUC
RNAcentral lists this ribosomal RNA (440 nucleotides) under uncultured bacterium. RNAcentral describes it as "bacterial SSU rRNA". It matches the Rfam family "Bacterial small subunit ribosomal RNA", at positions 958 to 1398 of the family's 1533-position model. The record is from RNAcentral.